RNAcentral lists this small RNA (306 nucleotides) under Streptomyces chattanoogensis. RNAcentral describes it as "5' ureB small RNA". It matches the Rfam family "5' ureB small RNA". The record is from Rfam by way of RNAcentral. Lineage: Bacteria; Bacillati; Actinomycetota; Actinomycetes; Kitasatosporales; Streptomycetaceae.
CCGACCUGGUCGGGGCAGAUGAAGUGGACAUGUGUGUCGACCCCGCCGGCGGUCAGGAUCCUGCCGUUGCCCGCGAUGACCUCCGUCUCGGGGCCGACGACGAAAUCCGUGGGGACCGGGCGACCGUCGUAGAGGGUGAUCCUGGGACCGUCGUGGAGACGGUCCAUGGUCUCGUCGUUGUACGCCUUGCCGAGCGCGGUGAUGCAGCCGUUGCGGAUGGCGACGUCCGCCUUGACGAUGCCCCAGUGGUCGAGGAUGACGGCGCCGGUGAUGACCGUGUCGGGCGGCUCCACGACCUCGCCGCGG